RNAcentral lists this ribosomal RNA (591 nucleotides) under uncultured Campylobacterota bacterium. RNAcentral's name for it is "bacterial SSU rRNA". It matches the Rfam family "Bacterial small subunit ribosomal RNA", at positions 70 to 676 of the family's 1533-position model. The record is from RNAcentral. Lineage: Bacteria; Pseudomonadati; Campylobacterota.
GGAUUAAAGCUUGCUUUAAUUGUCAGCUAAGUGGCGCACGGGUGAGUAAUAUAUAGGUAACGUGCCUUCAAGAUGGGGAUAACGUUUGGAAACGAACGCUAAGACCCGAUAUGCCUUUAUCCCAUAAGGGAGCAAGGGAAAUAUUUAUAGCUUGAAGAUCGGCCUGUACAGUAUCAGUUAGUUGGUGAGGUAAUGGCUCACCAAGACAAUGACGCUUAACUGGUUUGAGAGGAUGAUCAGUCACACUGGAACUGAGACACGGUCCAGACUCCUACGGGAGGCAGCAGUGGGGAAUAUUGCACAAUGGACGAAAGUCUGAUGCAGCAACGCCGCGUGGAGGAUGACACAUUUCGGUGCGUAAACUCCUUUUAUAUAGGAAGAUAAUGACGGUACUAUAUGAAUAAGCACCGGCUAACUCCGUGCCAGCAGCCGCGGUAAUACGGAGGGUGCAAGCGUUACUCGGAAUCACUGGGCGUAAAGAGAAUGUAGGCGGAUAAUUAAGUUUGAAGUGAAAUCCAAUGGCUCAACCAUUGAACUGCUUUGAAAACUGAUAAUCUAGAAUAUGGGAGAGGUAGAUGGAAUUUCUGGUGU